GUGCCAGCAGCCGCGGUAAUACGUAGGGGGCGAGCGUUGUCCGGAAUUAUUGGGCGUAAAGCGCGAGGGGUCUCUUAAGUCUGAUGUGAAAGCCCACGGCUCAACCGUGGAGGGUCAUUGGAAACUGGGGGACUUGAGGGCAGGAGAGGAGAGCGGAAUUCCACGUGUAGCGGUGAAAUGCGUAGAGAUGUGGAGGAACACCAGUGGCGAAGGCGGCUCUCUGGCCUGCACCUGACGCUGAGGCGCGAAAGYGUGGGGAGCAAACAGGAUUAGAUACCCUGGUAGUCCACGCCGUAAACGAUGAGUGCUAAGUGUUAGAGGGGUCACACCCUUUAGUGCUGUCACUAACGCGAUAAGCACUCCGCCUGGGGAGUACGGCCGCAAGUUGAAACUCAAAGGAAUUGACGG
Molecule: ribosomal RNA, 408 nt
Filed under: Geobacillus stearothermophilus
Lineage: Bacteria; Bacillati; Bacillota; Bacilli; Caryophanales; Anoxybacillaceae
Description: bacterial SSU rRNA
Rfam family: Bacterial small subunit ribosomal RNA
Source: RNAcentral